This is a small nucleolar RNA of Lactuca sativa (garden lettuce), 108 nucleotides long. The record is from RefSeq and is a predicted model, not a curated record. NCBI's taxonomy places the organism in Eukaryota, Viridiplantae, Streptophyta, Magnoliopsida, Asterales, Asteraceae.
GAGAUAUUGUUGAGGAGAACUCAUAAGCAAACCCUUGUAUCUCUCCCACGCUUCAUAUAAGGAUUCUCCAACCUCUUGUUGAAAAUUAGAAAUCUUCUUCUUAAGCUU